UGACCGUGCAAAGGUAGCAUAAUCAAUUGUCUUUUAAUUAAAGGCUGGAAUGAACGGUUUGAUGAGAUAAAAUCUAUUUUUAUUUUAUUAAAAUGAAUUUAAAUUUUUAGUAAAAAUGCUUAAAUAAAAUAAUUAGACGAGAAGACCCUAUAAAUCUUUAUUUUAUAUUAUUAUAAUUUAUUAAGAAGUUUUUAUUUUUUAAUAAAAAAAAAUUUUAUUGGGGUGAUAAUGAAAUUUAAUAAACUUUUAUUUUAUAGAUUAAAAUUUAUGAUUUUUUUAAUUGAUCCAUUAUUAGUGAUUAAAAAUUUAAGUUACUUUAGGGAUAACAGCGUAAUUAUUUUAGAGAGUUCAUAUCGAUAAAAUAGAUUGCGACCUCGAUGUACAAUGCAUAAGCGUGCAAUAGGUAGCGCAUGCCCUG
RNAcentral lists this ribosomal RNA (418 nucleotides) under Culicoides (Avaritia) sp. 54 MTB-2017. RNAcentral describes it as "partial 16S ribosomal RNA". Lineage: Eukaryota; Metazoa; Arthropoda; Insecta; Diptera; Ceratopogonidae. The record is from RNAcentral.